UCCCGAGUAGCUCAGUGGUAGAGCAACCGGCUGUUAACCGGUGGGUCGUCGGUUCGAAACCGACCUCGGGAGCCA
Molecule: transfer RNA, 75 nt
Filed under: Candidatus Peregrinibacteria bacterium
Lineage: Bacteria; Candidatus Peregrinibacteriota
Description: tRNA-Asn
Rfam family: tRNA
About the family: Transfer RNA (tRNA) molecules are approximately 80 nucleotides in length. Their secondary structure includes four short double-helical elements and three loops (D, anti-codon, and T loops).
Source: RNAcentral